RNAcentral lists this ribosomal RNA (676 nucleotides) under uncultured bacterium. RNAcentral describes it as "bacterial SSU rRNA". It matches the Rfam family "Bacterial small subunit ribosomal RNA", at positions 54 to 749 of the family's 1533-position model. The record is from RNAcentral.
CAUGCAAGUCGAGCGGAAAGGCCCCUUCGGGGGUACUCGAGCGGCGAACGGGUGAGUAACACGUGAGCAACCUGCCCUUCACUCUGGGAUAAGCCCGGGAAACUGGGUCUAAUACCGGAUACGACUUCGAUCGGCAUCGAUUGAGGUGGAAAGAUUUAUCGGUGAAGGAUGGGCUCGCGGCCUAUCAGCUUGUUGGUGAGGUAAUGGCUCACCAAGGCUUCUACGGGUAGCCGGCCUGAGAGGGCGACCGGCCACACUGGGACUGAGACACGGCCCAGACUCCUACGGGAGGCAGCAGUGGGGAAUAUUGCGCAAUGGGCGAAAGCCUGACGCAGCAACGCCGCGUGAGGGAUGACUGCCUUCGGGUUGUAAACCUCUUUCAGCAGGGACGAAAACAGACGGUACCUGCAGAAGAAGCACCGGCCAACUACGUGCCAGCAGCCGCGGUAACACGUAGGGUGCGAGCGUUGUCCGGAAUUAUUGGGCGUAAAGGGCUCGUAGGCGGUCUGUUGCGUCGAAAGUGAAAACCCGAUGCUCAACAUCGGGCCUGCUUUCGAUACGGGCAGACUAGAGGUAGGCAGGGGAGAAUGGAAUUCCAGGUGUAGCGGUGGAAUGCGCAGAUAUCUGGAGGAACACCGGUGGCGAANGCGGUUCUCUGGGCCUUACCUGACGCUGA